This 429-nucleotide ribosomal RNA is filed under the name Gemmatimonadota bacterium. Its description in RNAcentral is "Gemmatimonadetes bacterium partial 16S ribosomal RNA". It matches the Rfam family "Bacterial small subunit ribosomal RNA", at positions 355 to 776 of the family's 1533-position model. Lineage: Bacteria; Pseudomonadati; Gemmatimonadota. The record is from RNAcentral.
UAGGGAAUCUUCGGCAAUGGACGAAAGUCUGACCGAGCAACGCCGCGUGAGUGAAGAAGGUUUUCGGAUCGUAAAACUCUGUUGUUAGAGAAGAACAAGGACGUUAGUAACUGAACGUCCCCUGACGGUAUCUAACCAGAAAGCCACGGCUAACUACGUGCCAGCAGCCGCGGUAAUACGUAGGUGGCAAGCGUUGUCCGGAUUUAUUGGGCGUAAAGCGAGCGAAGGCGGUUUCUUAAGUCUGAUGUGAAAGCCCCCGGCUCAACCGGGGAGGGUCAUUGGAAACUGGGAGACUUGGGUGCAGAAGGGGAGGGUGGAAUUCCGUGUGUAGCGGUGAAAUGCGUAGAUAUAUGGAGGAACACCAGUGGCGAAGGCGGCUCUCUGGUCUGUAACUGACGCUGGGGCUCGAAAGCGUGGGGAGCAAACAGG